This 307-nucleotide unclassified non-coding RNA is filed under the name Malassezia restricta. Its description in RNAcentral is "sequence contains ITS1". The record is from RNAcentral. Lineage: Eukaryota; Fungi; Basidiomycota; Malasseziomycetes; Malasseziales; Malasseziaceae.
GGACGCCACAAAGUGUCCCUGGCCGCCUACACCCACUAUACAUCCACAAACCCGUGUGCACUGUCCUUGGAAAGGGCAUUUGGAGAGAAAAAGGAAGAGAGAAGCGAGAACAGUGCGAUCCGUCGCGUUGGGCGUUGAUCUCUGGCUUGGUCUCUCUGAGGCCCUUUCCUCGCUACAAACUCGAAUGGUUAGUAUGAACGUGGAACUUGGUUGGACCGUCACUGGCCAACAAACUAUACACAACUUUCAACAACGGAUCAGAACCGGGGGACGCUUUCUAUGUUCCUUUUUGUCGAGACUGUGUUUU